UAAUACGUAGGGAGCAAGCGUUAUCCGGAUUUACUGGGCGUAAAGCGCGCGUAGGCGGACGCUUAAGUGUGGCCUGAAAGCCCCCGGCUCAACCGGGGAGGGCGGCUGCAAACUGGGCGUCUUGAGGGGGAUAGAGGAGAGUGGAAUUCCUGGUGUAGCGGUGAAAUGCGUAGAGAUCAGGAGGAACACCCGUGGCGAAGGCGGCUCUCUGGGUCCGCCCUGACGCUGAGGCGCGAAAGCGUGGGGAGCGAACGGGAUUAGAUACCCCGGUAGUCCACGCCGUAAACGAUGGUUACUAGGUGUGUGUGGUGUCGACCCCACACGUGCCGCAGCUAACGCAAUAAGUAACCCGCCUGGGGAGUACGGCCGCAAGGUUG
This 377-nucleotide ribosomal RNA is filed under the name uncultured bacterium. Its description in RNAcentral is "bacterial SSU rRNA". It matches the Rfam family "Bacterial small subunit ribosomal RNA", at positions 521 to 896 of the family's 1533-position model. The record is from RNAcentral.